Molecule: ribosomal RNA, 465 nt
Filed under: Vreelandella stevensii
Lineage: Bacteria; Pseudomonadati; Pseudomonadota; Gammaproteobacteria; Oceanospirillales; Halomonadaceae
Description: partial 16S ribosomal RNA
Rfam family: Bacterial small subunit ribosomal RNA
Source: RNAcentral
CCUACGGGUGGCAGCAGUGGGGAAUAUUGGACAAUGGGCGAAAGCCUGAUCCAGCCAUGCCGCGUGUGUGAAGAAGGCCUUCGGGUUGUAAAGCACUUUCAGUGGGGAAGAAAGCCUUGGGGCUAAUACCCUCGAGGAAGGACAUCACCCACAGAAGAAGCACCGGCUAACUCCGUGCCAGCAGCCGCGGUAAUACGGAGGGUGCGAGCGUUAAUCGGAAUUACUGGGCGUAAAGCGCGCGUAGGCGGUCUGAUAAGCCGGUUGUGAAAGCCCCGGGCUCAACCUGGGAACGGCAUCCGGAACUGUCAGGCUAGAGGGCAGGAGAGGAAGGUAGAAUUCCCGGUGUAGCGGUGCAAUGCGUAGAGAUCGGGAGGAAUACCAGUGGCGAAGGCGGCCUUCUGGACUGACACUGACGCUGAGGUGCGAAUGCGUGGGUAGCACACAGGAUUAACAACCCCAGUAGUC